This 83-nucleotide transfer RNA is filed under the name Firmicutes bacterium ADurb.Bin193. RNAcentral's name for it is "tRNA-Leu". It matches the Rfam family "tRNA". Rfam says of the family: Transfer RNA (tRNA) molecules are approximately 80 nucleotides in length. Their secondary structure includes four short double-helical elements and three loops (D, anti-codon, and T loops). The record is from RNAcentral. Lineage: Bacteria; Bacillati; Bacillota.
GCGGGUGUGGCGGAAUUGGCAGACGCGCUAGACUUAGGAUCUAGUGGGCGACCGUGGGAGUUCGAGUCUCUUCACCCGCACCA